AGAGGGUGCGAGCGUUAAUCGGAAUUACUGGGCGUAAAGCGCACGUAGGUGGAUAUUCAAGUCGGAUGUGAAAAGCCUGGGCUCAACCUAGGUCGGUCAUUCGAGACUGGAUGUCUAGAGUAUAGUAGAGGGAAGUGGAAUUUCCGGUGUAGCGGUGAAAUGCGUAGAUAUCGGAAGGAACACCAGUGGCGAAGGCGUCUUCCUGGACUAAUACUGACACUGAGGAGCGAAAGCAUGGGGUAGCAAACAGGAUUAGAUACCCUGGUAGUCCAUGCUGUAAACGAUGAGGACUAGCUGUUGGGAUGUUAAACAUUUUUAGUGGCGCAGCAAACGCGAUAAGUUCUCCGCCUGGGAGUACGGCCGCAAGGCUA
This 371-nucleotide ribosomal RNA is filed under the name uncultured organism. RNAcentral's name for it is "partial 16S ribosomal RNA". It matches the Rfam family "Bacterial small subunit ribosomal RNA", at positions 527 to 896 of the family's 1533-position model. The record is from RNAcentral.